CACGUAUGCAACCUGGCUUCAACACUGGAAUAACCCGUUGAAAGACGGCCUAAUACCGGAUAAAACAGGGGCCCCGCCUGGGGAUAUUUGUUAAAGAUUCAUCGGUUGAAGAUGGGCACGCGUAUGAUUAGUUAGUUGGUGAGGUAACGGCUCACCAAGGCAUCGAUCAUUAGGGGUUCUGAGAGGAAGGUCCCCCACACUGGUACUGAGACACGGACCAGACUCCUACGGGAGGCAGCAGUGAGGAAUAUUGGUCAAUGGGCGAGAGCCUGAACCAGCCAAGUCGCGUGAAGGAAGACUGCCCUAUGGGUUGUAAACUUCUUUUGUACAGGAAUAAAGUGAGUCGCGUGUGGCUUUUUGUAUGUACUGUACGAAUAAGGAUCGGCUAACUCCGUG
Molecule: ribosomal RNA, 396 nt
Filed under: uncultured bacterium
Lineage: Bacteria
Description: bacterial SSU rRNA
Rfam family: Bacterial small subunit ribosomal RNA
Source: RNAcentral